Molecule: ribosomal RNA, 696 nt
Filed under: uncultured Bacillus sp.
Lineage: Bacteria; Bacillati; Bacillota; Bacilli; Caryophanales; Bacillaceae
Description: bacterial SSU rRNA
Rfam family: Bacterial small subunit ribosomal RNA
Source: RNAcentral
UGGAUUAAGAGCUUGCUCUUAUGAAGUUAGCGGCGGACGGGUGAGUAACACGUGGGUAACCUGCCCAUAAGACUGGGAUAACUCCGGGAAACCGGGGCUAAUACCGGAUAAUAUUUUGAACUGCAUGGUUCGAAAUUGAAAGGCGGCUUCGGCUGUCACUUAUGGAUGGACCCGCGUCGCAUUAGCUAGUUGGUGAGGUAACGGCUCACCAAGGCAACGAUGCGUAGCCGACCUGAGAGGGUGAUCGGCCACACUGGGACUGAGACACGGCCCAGACUCCUACGGGAGGCAGCAGUAGGGAAUCUUCCGCAAUGGACGAAAGUCUGACGGAGCAACGCCGCGUGAGUGAUGAAGGCUUUCGGGUCGUAAAACUCUGUUGUUAGGGAAGAACAAGUGCUAGUUGAAUAAGCUGGCACCUUGACGGUACCUAACCAGAAAGCCACGGCUAACUACGUGCCAGCAGCCGCGGUAAUACGUAGGUGGCAAGCGUUAUCCGGAAUUAUUGGGCGUAAAGCGCGCGCAGGUGGUUUCUUAAGUCUGAUGUGAAAGCCCACGGCUCAACCGUGGAGGGUCAUUGGAAACUGGGAGACUUGAGUGCAGAAGAGGAAAGUGGAAUUCCAUGUGUAGCGGUGAAAUGCGUAGAGAUAUGGAGGAACACCAGUGGCGAAGGCGACUUUCUGGUCUGUAACUGACACU